Molecule: ribosomal RNA, 444 nt
Filed under: uncultured bacterium
Lineage: Bacteria
Description: bacterial SSU rRNA
Rfam family: Bacterial small subunit ribosomal RNA
Source: RNAcentral
GAUGAAUGCUGGCGGCGUGCCUAACACAUGCAAGUCGAGCGGUAAGGCCCUUCGGGGUACACGAGCGGCGGACGGCUGAGUAACGCGUGGGAAUUUGCCCCAAACGUGAGGAAUAACUGCCCGAAAGGGUAGCUAAUGCCGCAUAUGGUCUUCGGAUUAAAGGAUUUAUCCGCUUUGGGAGGAGCCCGCGUUGGAUUAGGUUGUUGGUGAGGUAAUGGCUCACCAAGCCGACGAUCCAUAACUGGUCUGAGAGGAUGAUCAGUCAGACUGGAACUGAGACACGGUCCAGACUCCUACGGGAGGCAGCAGUGAGGAAUCUUCCACAAUGGGCGAAAGCCUGACGGAGCAACGCCGCGUGAAGGAUGAAGGUCUUCGGAUUGUAAACUUCUUUUAUGAGUGAAGAAUAUGACGGUAACUCAUGAAUAAGCACCGGCUAACUACGUG